AUGUUCAAUAUGUAACAAUGAAAAUACAUCCUGCUACAGAGAAGAUUAGCCCGGCCCCUGUGCAAGGAUGACAUGCAAAUUCGUGAAGCAUUCCAUAUUUUA
Molecule: small nuclear RNA, 102 nt
Filed under: Echinops telfairi (small Madagascar hedgehog)
Lineage: Eukaryota; Metazoa; Chordata; Mammalia; Afrosoricida; Tenrecidae
Source: RNAcentral